This 1785-nucleotide long non-coding RNA is filed under the name Carassius auratus (goldfish). RNAcentral's name for it is "lncRNA (ENSCARG00000056725.1)". The record is from RNAcentral. Lineage: Eukaryota; Metazoa; Chordata; Actinopteri; Cypriniformes; Cyprinidae.
AUGGCAUACCACAGAAACUGGAGGAAACGUCAUGCUGAAGUGCUGUCUCUUGCAGAUGAUGAUUCAAAUAGCAGUGAUACAGAUGGGUUACUGAGGGCUCGGUUCAAGGAAACUGCUCCUGAUCUGGGAGAGGAAAUUGCAGCAUGGGCAGCUACCAACAAAUGCAAGCGAUCUGGACUAAAUGAACUACUAGAUAUUCUAAGGCGCCAAGGACAUCGCCUCCCCAAGGAUGCCAGAACCCUGCUGAAAACCCCUAAAAGAGUGGAAGUAGUUGAUCUGUGUGGUGGUCAAUAUGCCUACUUUGGUAUUGCAUCAGGAGUACUGAAGGUUUUAUCCCAGAAUCCUGUUUUCCAUGAAGACCGAAUAGAUAUGUGCUUUAACAUUGAUGGCAUUCCAUUAUUUAAAUCAUCAAGUCUGCAAAUGUGGCCAAUCCUGUGCAGUUUCCAUGAUUUUGCACCCUUCAUUGUGGCACUCUAUUGUGGAAAAGCAAAACCGAGCCCAGUUAAAGAUUACCUCUCUGAUUUUCUACAGGAGUUGCAGCAACUUAUGCAAGAUGGCAUAGUCCAUGGAGAGAAAGCACUGCAAGUGACUGUAAAAUCCUUUGUUUGUGAUGCACCAGCUCGAUCAUUCCUGAAAUGCAUAAAGAAUCACAAUAGCUACUUCGCAUGUGAGCGCUGCACAGUUAAAGGCACCUAUGUGGGACGAGUUGUUCUUGGUGCUACAUCGCCUGGUGUUGUUGCAAGGUCUGAAGCAGAUUUCAGUAGACUUGCCUACAAAGACCAUCAAAUUGAGAAAUCCCCACUGACACUAGCUGGAAUUCCAUGUGUUCGGCCAUUUGCAUUGGACUACAUGCACUUGGUGUGUUUGGGUGUAGUUAGGAGAAUGCUUCACUACAUGCAGAGAGGACCCCACACAUGCAGACUGUCAUUUCAGCAAAGGAGUGACAUUUCAGUUAAACUAAAGGCAUUGAAUGGAGAACUACCUAGUGAGUUUGCACGGCAACCUAGGACUUUACUGGAAUUGGACAGAUGGAAGGCUACAGAACUUAGACAGUUUCUCCUUUAUACUGGACCAGUGGUUCUAAGAAAAGUGGUUUCACAUGCUGUAUACAAACACUUUCUUUCCUUGAUGGUUGCGGUGUCCGUCCUUUUGAAUUCGGAUGAUGCAGACCGUAAGGAACACUUAGACUAUGCUCGAGAGCUACUCAUGUACUAUGUGAAGAAGUGUGAGGCUAUAUAUGGAAACACCUUCGCUGUAUACAAUGUUCAUUCACUAAUUCACUUACCAGAUGAUGUGGAACACUUCAACUGUUCACUGAAUGGGAUUUCAUGCUUUCCAUUUGAGAACUACCUGCAGACUCUAAAGAAAAUGGUCAGACAAUCUCGCAAUCCUAUAGCCCAAGUUGCCAAGCGUCUAGCAGAAAUUGAAAAUUCUACAAAAUCUAGGCCUUUUACCAAAGAGAGCUUUACUCGCAUAUCCACAAGGCCAAGAGAUUGUUGUUUCAUCCUUCAGAACAAGGACUAUGUCUUUGUGAAGGAAAUGCAUGAAGAUGGCACCUUGGUUUGCGAUGUGCUACACCAAUGCAACACAGAGAGUUUCUUCACUGAUCCUUGUGAUUCUAAACUGCUCCACAUCGUCCGUGUUAGAGAUAUCAGCAGAACUAGACGUCGACUGAUCAGCAAACAGCAGUUGAUUCGUAAAGUUGUCUGUCUGCCAGCCAACCCUGGUGAAGCUGACACAGGAUUCAUUUUGUUCCCCAUGUUGCAUGAAAUAGAACGUAACUGA